AACGCACAUUGCGCCCUCUGGUAUUCCGGGGGGCAUGCCUGUUCGAGCGUCAUUACAACCCUCAAGCUCUGCUUGGUAUUGGGCAUCACCGGCCUCGGCGUGCCUCAAAAUCAGUGGCGGCGCCGCUCGGCUCCAAGCGUAGUAAUACUCCUCGCUUCCGGACGUCGGGUGUGUGGCUGCCAGCAACCCCCAACAUAUCAAGGUUGACCUCGGAUCAGGUAGGGAUACCCGCUGAACUUAA
This 241-nucleotide unclassified non-coding RNA is filed under the name Geoglossum sp. RNAcentral's name for it is "partial contains 5.8S ribosomal RNA, internal transcribed spacer 2, and large subunit ribosomal RNA". The stretch from base 1 to 52 matches the Rfam family "5.8S ribosomal RNA", at positions 103 to 154 of the family's 154-position model. Lineage: Eukaryota; Fungi; Ascomycota; Geoglossomycetes; Geoglossales; Geoglossaceae. RNAcentral also lists the same sequence under 1 other name. The record is from RNAcentral.